Molecule: ribosomal RNA, 391 nt
Filed under: uncultured bacterium
Lineage: Bacteria
Description: bacterial SSU rRNA
Rfam family: Bacterial small subunit ribosomal RNA
Source: RNAcentral
AUUGAACGCUGGCGGCAGGCCUAACACAUGCAAGUCGAACGGUAACAGGAAGAAGCUUGCUUCUUUGCUGACGAGUGGCGGACGGGUGAGUAAUGUCUGGGAAACUGCCUGAUGGAGGGGGAUAACUACUGGAAACGGUAGCUAAUACCGCAUAACGUCGCAAGACCAAAGAGGGGGGACCUUCGGGCCUCUUGCCAUCGGAUGUGCCCAGAUGGGAUUAGCUAGUAGGNGGGGUAACGGCGUCACCUAGGCGACGAUCCCUAGCUGGUCUGAGAGGAUGACCAGCCACACUGGAACUGAGACACGGUCCAGACUCCUACGGGAGGCAGCAGUGGGGAAUAUUGCACAAUGGCGCAAGCCUGAUGCAGCCAUGCCGCGUGUAUGAAGAAGG